Molecule: long non-coding RNA, 646 nt
Organism: Triticum dicoccoides
Lineage: Eukaryota; Viridiplantae; Streptophyta; Magnoliopsida; Poales; Poaceae
Exons: 3
Source: RefSeq, a predicted model, not a curated record
GAAGUUGAAGGCAAUGGAUGGUAUCAAAGUUGCUAAUGGUCUUGAAUGCAAGAUAUCCUGCAAGACCUCUAAGGUCUCCUAUGUCCUUGACACCGAAGAUUUCUUGUUUCGGUUGAGAAAGAGGAGGAGGCUUUCACCCGGUGGAAAUGUGGCCGACAAGUCGCCGACCUCCAAAAAAUAUGAUGCAAAAGUGCAGCGCUUUCAUUUAUUUCUAUCCAAGCCCUAAGAGGGCCAUAGGCAAAAAAACAUUGACAUUGUAUCCAGAUCAGGAGAUGCUGCUGGGGUUGCGACCGCCUUGCUCUUGCUUCGACAGUGACAAGAAUAAUAAUAAUCAGCUGGCCGCUGGAUAGAUGAUAUAUAUACCCAGUAAAUACAGCAAAGCAAAGCAUGUUAGGGGCCACCUCAGUCAGCCUUAGGCCGCGCUCAUCAGGCCGAAAAAGAUGUGUGUUUGUAAAUAUGUACUGGCAGAAGAAGGAUGUUGUUUGUUCCGUUAACCUGUUACCUGUAGUGUCUUUUUGGUCUUUUAGAAGUGAUGAUCACCAUUUGUUGAUGCUGGUAUAGGUCUCUUGUUAUGUUCGUUUUUCCGGUUCAAGAUAUGUAGCCUUGGUCUGUUAAAUGCAACAAUUGCAACAGUCAUUGUUUUUAA